UUUCCAAUAAUAUUAGUGCCUUCUUGCAACUCCUAAGUGCUAAUUUAAUUAAAGCUGAUAACACAAGAAUUUUUUUGUUAUAUAUAAAGGGAUUAAACAUUUGUACAAACAAAUAUAAUAAAAUAUUUAAAAAUUAAAAAAUUGUAAUCAAAAUUAUACAAACAAACAUAAUAAAAUAUACACACACGUUACCACGGUAAAUAGUGUAAUAUACCACUCGUCAAUUAUUGGAAUAUUACCGAUCGAUGUAUCAGAGGGAGAGUGUCCAGGAAGGUUAUGGCAAGACGGAAGAUACUAUGAUGCAGUGUCAGUUAAGCACGGGUUAAUCAUUAGUGUUAGUGUAACCACGAUUAAGAUGAAGGGCAUUUUAGUAUUUGCACCAAGAAGGGUGUUUGGUCCCAAAAUCUUCAUUGUUCCAUGUUGUUUCUCUCUCUAAGAUUACAAGACUAGAAUUCUCUCUCCCUUCUCUCUAAGAAUGUCGCCCCAAUCUCCCUCUAUUGUCCAUUAAUCAUUCCAAGAAUAUAUAAUUGACAAUCAAGCAUGGAUUAAGGUAACUUUAUAAGCAAGGAACAACUAGAAGAUUGGAUGUAAGCUUUGGGGUUAUUCUUGAGGCCACGGUCAAGAGCUAGGGUUUGAGGUUAAGAAGUUUGGAGCAUGAAGAAUUGCAAGAACUUGUUAGAUCAGCAGGUUGAUUUAGCAUGAUUUGGCAAGCUUGUAGCCGAAGGGAUACUCCAUAAGGAGUCGUUCGUACCCGCUGCAGGAUGUUCUUAUGGAUUCAAUAGUGUUUUACUAUACUUUGGAUAGAUAGUGUUGUAUUACUGAUUGUACGAACGCGUAAUUGUUGUAUAUGAUACUCAUUCAAAGUAUUCAUGUUGUAAAGUUUAAUGUAUCCAGUACUAAAGAUAAUGCACAUGCUAAAUUUUCUAGAUACGAUUAUUGUGGGCGUUACAAAUAAAGCGGAUAGACGAGCACUUUCCGGCCGCUAGUAUGGUAUAAU
This 997-nucleotide long non-coding RNA is filed under the name Medicago truncatula (barrel medic). Its description in RNAcentral is "lncRNA gene21532". Lineage: Eukaryota; Viridiplantae; Streptophyta; Magnoliopsida; Fabales; Fabaceae. The record is from RNAcentral.